GGUGAGGUUCGGGUACAAAAAAUUAAAGCUCAAGUAGAUAUUUUAUAUAAUAGAAAGAGAGUAGUUUGACGGGUAAAAGGGCGCCUAAAAUGGAGGCUUUGGCGUCUGCUACUUUUGGUCCUAUUUGAAAGUGGUUGAUAAAACUUGACCUUUUCCCUCUUCUCCUCCUGCUUUUACUUACGUUAUAGCCUAGGCAGUUUUAUUAUUAAGUGAUUUCUGUUACCUCCUCCUCCAACUUUUACUUACGUUAUAGCCUAUGCAGUUUUAUUAUCAAGUGAUUUAUGUUACACUUAUGCCAAACCUAAUAAAUUUCUGAUCUUUAAUUUAUCUGUCCUCCUUAAUUCCAAAAGCAGCAAAAAAUCAGCAGUUUUAACUCCUGUCUUUGGGAAACUCUUCCUGGUUUUUCUCCUUUUCAGCCUCUGUUAGCUGUCACUCUCAGCUUCUCUGCCCAAAGGUGAUGAUAUUUCUGCUUUUGGGGGUUUUUUUCUGCUUUUCUUUCCAUUAGUGGUAGUCUCUGUUUAGAUUUCUUUCGCUGUUCCAUUAUUUAAUUUUCAAUUUACUUUUUCUUCUUUUCCCUUUUCUUUCAAGAUUAUGGAUUUUUGC
RNAcentral lists this long non-coding RNA (603 nucleotides) under Nicotiana benthamiana. RNAcentral describes it as "long non-coding RNA (NBEN_LNC024687)". The record is from RNAcentral. Lineage: Eukaryota; Viridiplantae; Streptophyta; Magnoliopsida; Solanales; Solanaceae.